Molecule: long non-coding RNA, 1145 nt
Filed under: Zea mays
Lineage: Eukaryota; Viridiplantae; Streptophyta; Magnoliopsida; Poales; Poaceae
Description: long non-coding RNA (ZMAY_LNC003703)
Source: RNAcentral
GAGGACAUCCUCCACUAUUACUCGUUGGCAAAGACGCAAUUGGCCCAGUUGACCCAAUUGUAGUCGGACGGCGACCGUGUGAGCCUCAGAAUUAUCCCACCUCGCUUAACUUGGGAGGAGGAAGCCACUUUAAAAGGGAGAGCAACCCUUCCCCCAUUGGACUAGUCUUUUGGGGCGAUUGGGCCUUUCCCUGAGUUGGGUGUGCUUAAUGAACUGUUGGGCUCCGGGCAACCCUAAUUUGUUGGUCCUCGGCCAACCCCACCUGGGCUGGGUGUAUCAUCUGGUAUCAGAGCUAGGGCCCAUUUUAAGAAGGUGGGAAUGAUGAGGACAUCCUCCACUAUUACCCGUUGGCAAAGACGCAAUUGGCCCAGUUAGCCCAAUUGUAGUCAAACGGCGACCGUGUGAGCCUCAGAAUUAUCCCACCUCGCUUAACUUGGGAGGAGGAAGCCACUUUAAAAGGGAGAGCCACCCUUCCCCCAUUAGACUAGUCUUUUGGGGCGAUUGGGCCUUUCCCUGAGUUGGGUGUGCUUAAUGAACUGUUGGGCUCCGGGCAACCCUAAUUUGUUGGGCCUCGGCCAACCCCACCUGGGCUUGGUGUAUCACUUACUAGUAGGAAACAAGUCCCCACUUUAAGGUUCUACCCUUGAGCUAUAAAAGGGCAGGACCCCCUCCUUCCCACACACACACAACAUAUGUAAUACGUCUCUCAGAGUAAUACUACGAUCAACACUACACUUGUAACACCCCUGGUGUUAUAAGAACUAAAACUUGAGCAUGACAUCAUAUGCAUUGACAUUUCAUUAUGUUUGUUACACCUAGAAUGCAUCCACUAGGCUAAAACUUCAAAACAAGUGUGAUGUGGUGACUUGAAGUGUUUCUUAACCCUAGAGUAGGGUACUUAACCAUGGGAUUGAGGUAUAUGGGUGUGUGUGUGAGGCCAAAUUGAGUAUUACCUCAAAAGUUAUUGGAAAUGUUCAUAAGAGACUAAAUUUGAUGGAUUUGAGUGGCACACAAACCCUAGAGCACUCAAAACCCUAAUGAGAACCCUAGAAACCCUAAUUUGUGCCCUAUAUGGUGAUUUUGAUUUCUAGGCACUUUUGGACCAAAGUGUCUAUAUCAAAGUGGUAGAAUAUCACAAACCAAGC